Molecule: long non-coding RNA, 347 nt
Organism: Ananas comosus (pineapple)
Lineage: Eukaryota; Viridiplantae; Streptophyta; Magnoliopsida; Poales; Bromeliaceae
Exons: 4
Source: RefSeq, a predicted model, not a curated record
CUUUCCGUUUCAUACGGCACCUCCUUCGCUUCUCGCCCCAGUGCAAUAAAUGUUAUCGUCUUAUCUCGCCGUGGCCGCUCGAGACGCUGGCUGGCUGUUGGCGACGGUUACAGGUACUUUGAGAAUUUGAGUAGGUGCUCAAUAUGGCGGAGGAGAACACAUCACAAAUGAAAGAGGAGAUGCCAGAGCUUGCACCUUUCGACCCUACGAAGAAAAAGAAGAAGAAGAAGAACGUGGUGAUUCAGGACCCUACAGAUGAGGUGGAUAAGUUGGCUGAGAAGACCGAGAAUUUAACAGUUGCUGAGUCUGGUGAGCCAAGUUUUGCUGGGAUGAAAAAGAGAAAGAAG